UAGUCCACGCCGUAAACGAUGAUUACUCGUUGUUGGCAAUACAUGGUCAGCGACUGAGCGAAAGCAUUAAGUAAUCCACCUGGGGAGUACGUUGGCAACAAUGAAACUCAAAGGAAUUGACGGGGGCCCGCACAAGCGGAGGAACAUGUGGUUUAAUUCGAUGAUACGCGAGGAACCUUACCUGGACUUAAAUGUAGAUUGACAGGUUUAGAGAUAGACUUUUCUUCGGACAAUUUACAAGGUGCCGCAUGGCUGUCGUCAGCUCGUGUCGUGAGAUGUUGGGUUAAGUCCCGCAACGAGCGCAACCCUUGUCUUUAGUUGCCAUCAUUCAGUUGGGCACUCUAAAGAGACUGCCGGUGACAAACCGGAGGAAGGUAAGGAUGACGUCAAGUCAGCAUGCCCCUUACGCCCUGGGCUACACACGUGCUACAAUGGUCGUGACAAAGGGUCGCUAAUCUGCAAAGACAUGCUAAUCUCAUAAACACGGCCUCAGUUCGGAUUG
RNAcentral lists this ribosomal RNA (502 nucleotides) under uncultured bacterium. Its description in RNAcentral is "bacterial SSU rRNA". It matches the Rfam family "Bacterial small subunit ribosomal RNA", at positions 791 to 1300 of the family's 1533-position model. The record is from RNAcentral.